UGCACGGUGGCGCAGUUGGUAGCACUGUUGCCUGGGUUCGAUUCCCAGCCGGGGGUCUUUCUGCAU
Molecule: non-coding RNA, 66 nt
Organism: Ataeniobius toweri
Lineage: Eukaryota; Metazoa; Chordata; Actinopteri; Cyprinodontiformes; Goodeidae
Source: the annotation of a GenBank genome assembly